UGGAUUUCUAGGCUGGCAUUGUUGUUGGUGUUAACAUUGGCAUUACGGAUUCAGAAACCACAAUGUUAUGCUUGCAAUAGAGGGUGCACAGAUUACUCCAAACUUAUAGAGCGGCAAACGAUAACAGCCGCAAAACUCGUGCCAGCCCUUGUUUUGCUGCUUUAGAGAGCUAAUAGAAUUAAGAGUUACUCCAAAGUUCAUGACAUUGAUUUUCGCUUUUGGUGUCUGGAGAGCAUGAACUGGUGAUUACAAAUUUGGGUUUUAGUAUUUCAUUGACGACUACUUAUAGUGUAGCCUAAGAUAUGCAAGGGCACUCCUUUCUACAAAGUACGACCUUAAAUCAACGUAUGAUCUAUCGGGUUAUGGAAUGGGCGAAGGAAAUUUUGAUUGUGGCCCUAUGUAUAUAUAUACGAAAUGAAUUUCGAAUCAUGAAUACGAUUUUCGAACGAGUCAGUCUUUGGUCCACCUCUCGGCGAUGAAAUUGGGGUUCUUCGACAUAUCGUAAUAUUCGGUGCAGCCGUUGCGGAAGUAG
Ceratitis capitata (Mediterranean fruit fly) is the source of this 532-nucleotide long non-coding RNA. RefSeq lists it as uncharacterized. NCBI's taxonomy places the organism in Eukaryota, Metazoa, Arthropoda, Insecta, Diptera, Tephritidae. The transcript has 3 exons. The record is from RefSeq and is a predicted model, not a curated record.